RNAcentral lists this transfer RNA (90 nucleotides) under Parvularculaceae bacterium. Its description in RNAcentral is "tRNA-Ser". It matches the Rfam family "tRNA". From Rfam's summary of the family: Transfer RNA (tRNA) molecules are approximately 80 nucleotides in length. Lineage: Bacteria; Pseudomonadati; Pseudomonadota; Alphaproteobacteria; Parvularculales; Parvularculaceae. The record is from RNAcentral.
GGAUGGGUGGCCGAGUGGUUGAAGGCACCGGUCUUGAAAACCGGCAGGCUCGCAAGGGUCUCGUGGGUUCGAAUCCCACCCCAUCCGCCA